Myotis myotis is the source of this 866-nucleotide long non-coding RNA. RefSeq lists it as uncharacterized. NCBI's taxonomy places the organism in Eukaryota, Metazoa, Chordata, Mammalia, Chiroptera, Vespertilionidae. The transcript is spliced from 3 exons. The record is from RefSeq and is a predicted model, not a curated record.
GAACUGAAUUUGCUGAGGAGUAUGGGGAACGUUUGUUUCUUGUUUUGCACAUUCACUGCGAUGUGAAGCUGUUGUGGCCACAGUGGUAUCUAAUUAGCCCACAACACUUAGAAAAUGAACCUGACAACAAGACUGCUGUGAAAGUUAACACCUGGCUUCCAGGAAGCUGUCCUGAGCCCAUACGCUUUAUUUUAUCUCUUCCCUCCUGCACCAAACUGGCUUCUGAUUUCUGCCUGUGCCAAGGACUCUUACCGUUAACUCAGGCGAGGGCUUGGGGUGUUAGAAAACUAUUUCAAAUUCAGUGCCAUUUCAGUGCUGGUCAAAGGCUGUGCACACUGAAGAAGUGAAAGUAUGGGUUUUGCUUAGGGGACACUGCGCGGUACACGUUCUUAAACCACUGCCUGACGAAAGAGAUGAAGAAGUUGAAGAUCACAGAAGUUAAAUGAAUUGCCAGAAACCACCACCGGACAGGAUUGACAAUAAAAAUGAGCUCCCUACUUAUCUCUGAGAACCAUUUAAAUUUGUAGCCAUUGUUUGCCAGGAGGGACUGGUAAUGCAAUCAUAGCCUGUCUGCUGUGACUCUUGACACCACACGUAAGGACAGCUGUAUUUGUAGACCCCAGGAAGUGAACCAGCGGAAGUAUUGUUAAUGAAGCAACUUUCACGAAGAUGAAGCUUGCAUGCUGGCAGCUUCUCCGUCUUGGCCUUUUAUUACUUCUUACAGAAUCUUGAACAUAAAAGAUUAGUGCGCAAUAAGACAGUGCCUGGAGAGAAACGGACAAUAUAUUGGCAGCUUAGAAGACAAUUUCUGGGUAGGAAAACAAUUCUCUGUUCUUCCUUCCCAAAAGUUUGCUCAUUUGGGAGCC